CGAAUUUUAAUAUCUUAAAGUAACUUGAACUUGACCUGAGCUUGAAACGUGUGGACUCGGCCGGUUUUAGGUUGCUACGUAGAACUAGCCUACAAAGAAAUUCUUUGAGCAUCGUAUUUGACGUAGAAAAUCCAAUAUAGAGCGUAUCAUUUUUUUCGAUUAGUCCAUAUAGUCACCAUUUUUCAACAUGCAUUUAAUGCCAGU
Molecule: long non-coding RNA, 204 nt
Filed under: Elaeis guineensis (African oil palm)
Lineage: Eukaryota; Viridiplantae; Streptophyta; Magnoliopsida; Arecales; Arecaceae
Description: long non-coding RNA (EGUI_LNC038980)
Source: RNAcentral